Long non-coding RNA from Macaca mulatta (Rhesus monkey), 1949 nucleotides. Lineage: Eukaryota; Metazoa; Chordata; Mammalia; Primates; Cercopithecidae. The record is from Ensembl.
GUCACUGAUAUGCCUAGUGGAGGUCCGUGCUCACAAGCACAGUCACUGAUAACGCCUAGCGGAGGUCGGCGCUCAUGAGCACAGUCACUGAUAUGCCUAGCGGAGGUCUUAGAAGGGCCCCCAUGUGUCAUUAUCAUACGCUUAUUUGUAAGAGUUUGAGGAUACUUCCCCGACGGCUUCAUUUAUCUGACUGUGGAAAGAGCUUGCAAGCCAGGUCACGAUUGAGAACCCGCGUGGACCCAGCAACCAGACGGCACGCCCACGUGAUCUGCCCUCGAAAGCACCUGCUUUCGAUCCAGAGGGCGAGAGGUGAGGAAGUGUUACCUGUCCAGUGAAACCAACCCCGCCUGUAAUGAGAACAGCACCAGUGCUUGCCGGGGCACGUUCCCUGGGAUGGCGCAGCCACACCUGCAGGGGCUGGAGCCUAUUUUUGCUGCUGGAUGCUGUUCAGCACCCACCCCUCCUGCUUUCCUUGGGAGCCUCCUUCCAGGCCCUUGGAUGACUUGAUGGGACCGUCUCUUGCCACAGGAGCCAGAGGGUCCAGACAGGCCCCUCCCCAAUGACACAGUUAGAAGGGAGGUGGCAUGUGAAUGAACCCUGACCUCUGAGAUGCUCGCUCCUGAAACUGUGACUCUUGAGCUAAGGACACAAGGAAACGCCCCGCUAACUGCUUCUGCCCAGCUGUCUCCAGCACAGCGCCCAGCUCCUCACCUCCAAAAGUGCAUUAGCUCUCUUCUGUCAGCCCACAUUGCUGCAGCUCCCGGCCCUGAUAUCCUAACAGCACUUUCCCUUUGGUGAUUGGCCAGCGGCUUCUGCUGUUUGCAUCUAGAAAAUCCAAAUGACAAAACGGCUCACAGCCUGUUCAAAACGGAGGGCAACGCCACACCUCUAGGAAGGCGACCCCUCCAGGCGGAAGGUUUUCCACGCCGAGCUGUGUUAUAUGUGCAGUCUUCUCCCUAUAACAGAAUAGACUUUGAAAGGAAGAACCAAUGUGAAUGGAACUGAUGCUGGACAGCACAGUUGCAGAUGGUGGACCCCACAGAUCUUCACAUGUGGCAUGAGAGAAACAGCAGUCCCCAAAACUGUGGGGAUGUUUUCCCUUCAGAAAAACCGAACAAGCAAAAUGACUCUGGAACAUAAUGUCACUGGCAAAAAGUACACCCAGAGUCUGUGCAGGGCAGCCUCCUCCGUCCACACACAUUCUCUCUUUAUGUCAACAUCAAAAUUGCUAGAAAAAUGAAUAUGGGCUCAUUCAAAGCCAUUAGCUCCCAUACAACACAGAUGUCGCAAUAGUGAGACUGGUGUGUCCAUGUUGAAUUUCCCCAUGUUUGACUCCAUCACCGUUCAUCAAAGGAAUGUGUCACGGUCCCCGUGCCAUUAAGAAAGUGUUUCUAUUUCACCUCUUCUGUCUGCUCGGGGACUGAACUGCUGUGAGAAAGCUACUCACAGGGCUUUCUCCUGGGAAAGCUACUCCUGCUGCACCUGCAAGCUACUCCUGCUGCACCUGCAAGCACAUAUUACCCCGCAGAACCCUAAACUCCUCCAGUACACACAAAACAAAACAAGACUCCCAACUCUCUCUCGCUAGCCACCUCCACCCCCAGAAUUCAUUGCAGCCAACACAAUGCCAGGCUUCAAAAUGGGGCUGUGGGAUGUUUGUCUAAUUGUCUCCGAAAUACUUGCAUAGAACCAAGGCUCGUGCGGUGGCUCUCGCCUGUAAUCCCAGCACUUUGGGAGGCCGAGGCAUGUGGAUCAUGAAGUCAAGAGAUCGAGACCAUCCUGGCCAACAUGGUGAAACCCUAUCUCUACUAAAAAUACAAAAAUUAGCCAGGCAUGGUGGCGGGCGCCCAUAGUCCCAGCUACUCCGGAGGCUGAGGCAGGAGAAUCACUUGAACCCAGGAGGUGGUGGUUGCAGUGAGCCAAGAUCACGCCACUGCACUCCAGCCUGG